GAAUAUUGCGCAAUGGGGGCAACCCUGACGCAGCAACGCCGCGUGCGGGACGAAGGCACUCGUGUCGUAAACCGCUUUCAGCAGGGAAGACAUCGACGGUACCUGCAGAAGAAGCCCCGGCUCACUACGUGCCAGCAGCCGCGGUAACACGUAGGGGGCGAGCGUUAUCCGGAUUCAUUGGGCGUAAAGCGCGCGCAGGCGGCCGCCUAAGCGGGACCUCUAAUCCUGGGGCUCAACCUCAGGCCGGGUCCCGAACUGGGCGGCUCGCGUCAGGUAGGGGGAGGCGGAAUUCCCGGUGUAGCGGUGGAAUGCGCAGAUAUCGGGAAGAACACCGACGGCGAAGGCAGCCUCCUGGGCCUCGACGGACGCUGAGGCGCGAAAGCCGGGGGAGCGAAC
This 396-nucleotide ribosomal RNA is filed under the name uncultured bacterium. RNAcentral describes it as "partial 16S ribosomal RNA". It matches the Rfam family "Bacterial small subunit ribosomal RNA", at positions 359 to 773 of the family's 1533-position model. The record is from RNAcentral.